CAACCAUCAAGCCUUAGGCUUGUGUUGGGGCCCUGCGGCCGUCCGCAGCCCCCUAAAAAUAGUGGCGGGCUCGCUAUAUACCGAGUGCAGUAGUUUACUCUUCGCUCAGGACGUGUAGCGGGUUCUGGCCGUAAAACCCCCAAAUUUUCAA
Molecule: unclassified non-coding RNA, 151 nt
Filed under: uncultured Ascomycota
Lineage: Eukaryota; Fungi; Ascomycota
Description: sequence contains ITS2
Source: RNAcentral